AACGAACGCUGGCGGCAUGCCUAACACAUGCAAGUCGAACGAAGGCUUCGGCCUUAGUGGCGCACGGGUGCGUAACGCGUGGGAAUCUGCCCUUUGGUUCGGAAUAACAGCUGGAAACGGCUGCUAAUACCGGAUGAUGACGAAAGUCCAAAGAUUUAUCGCCAGAGGAUGAGCCCGCGUUGGAUUAGGUAGUUGGUGGGGUAAAGGCCUACCAAGCCGACGAUCCAUAGCUGGUCUGAGAGGAUGAUCAGCCACACUGGGACUGAGACACGGCCCAGACUCCUACGGGAGGCAGCAGUGGGGAAUAUUGGGCAAUGGGCGCAAGCCUGAUCCAGCAAUGCCGCGUGAGUGAUGAAGGCCCUAGGGUUGUAAAGCUCUUUUACCCGGGAAGAUAAUGACUGUACCGGGAGAAUAAGCCCCGGCUAACUCCGUG
This 433-nucleotide ribosomal RNA is filed under the name uncultured bacterium. RNAcentral's name for it is "partial 16S ribosomal RNA". It matches the Rfam family "Bacterial small subunit ribosomal RNA", at positions 29 to 507 of the family's 1533-position model. The record is from RNAcentral.